Molecule: ribosomal RNA, 253 nt
Filed under: uncultured Staphylococcus sp.
Lineage: Bacteria; Bacillati; Bacillota; Bacilli; Caryophanales; Staphylococcaceae
Description: partial 16S ribosomal RNA
Rfam family: Bacterial small subunit ribosomal RNA
Source: RNAcentral
AGUAACACGUGGAUAACCUACCUAUAAGACUGGGAUAACUUCGGGAAACCGGAGCUAAUACCGGAUAAUAUAUUGAACCGCAUGGUUCAAUAGUGAAAGACGGUUUUGCUGUCACUUAUAGAUGGAUCCGCGCUGCAUUAGCUAGUUGGUAAGGUAACGGCUUACCAAGGCAACGAUGCAUAGCCGACCUGAGAGGGUGAUCGGCCACACUGGAACUGAGACACGGUCCAGACUCCUACGGGAGGCAGCAGCA